AAAAGGUUCUUUUCCUGGAGCCGAUAAAUAGCGUGGAAAUUGUAUUGGCGCGACAACUUAAAGCUUAUCCUGUCAAUCAAAAACACAGAACCACAGGUCCAGACAGCAGCACUUGCACAGAAAGAUUGAGACUUGAGAGUUGAGUGAGAAAUGCGAAGCGUAACUCUCUCACAGAUGGCUUUGAAGCCACAUUCAUUGCCUCCAUGUCCUAAACCUCAUAAGCCCCAUUCCACCUUUAGCUUACUUCCCUUGAAUUCUCUGUCCAAGAAGCUAAGCUCCAAAUUUUUCUUUCGUAACCAAUCUCUUAUUUUCUCCAGGUAUCCAAAAAAAUGGUGUGAGAACCCAAUUGAAGAGGCAUUUAGACAUGUUCUGCCAACAGCUUCAAAGAAUUUGGAUGGCCUUGAGGUUAGGGGCCUUGAUUGCCAGAACGUCCAAGCAACUACAGAAUCCAUGCUGGAUCUGGAUGAUUUUUGUGGCUCACUCGCAAAGUAUAAUUCAACAAGGGAAUAUCAAAAGGCGGCUUCCACUAAAUCAUAUGGUGGUUGGCUGAAGUUUGUGCUUCUGUUUGGAUACUUAACACUUCAAGGCUCUCAUCAGGCAUUAGCUGGAACAGAUUUUGCCUCUGGAUUUCAGUCAAUUCCUUAUUUGGGUGACUUUGGUGAUAUUAGCACAGGUUUUGCUUCAGCAUUCCUGCUGAUAUUUUUCUCAGAACUGGGAGACAAGACCUUUUUCAUAGCGGCGCUUUUAGCAGCUAGGAAUUCUGCUGCGAUUGUUUUCACUGGGACCUUUGGUGCACUUGCGGCAAUGACUAUCAUAUCCGUGGUUCUUGGACGAAGUUUUCACUACAUUGAUGAAAUUCUUCCAUUCAAGUAUUUUCCUCAAGACUUACUUAUUUUAGACACUUAUGAACUUGGGAAUAUUCCAUGCAUGACAUGGUGUUGGAUGCUAGAAAUGUUGAGAUAUAUUGGAGGCUGUAUUCAAUUGAUUUUGCCUGGUGGUUUUGCUAUGCAACGAAGAACAAACUUGGUGAGACUGAUUUGCCUGUUGAUGAUAUUGCUGCUGUUUGCCUUCUGGUAUAUUUUGGGGUUUCGACACUGAUUGAUGCUAGCUCAAGUGAUAGUCUAAAAGCAGAAGAUGAACAAAAGGAGGCGGAGCUAGCAGUUUCAGAAUUUUCUGGAAAUGGUGCCGGCAUUUUAGCAGCUGCUAACACCAUUGUCAGUACCUUCCUAUUGGUUUUUGUUGCUGAAUGGGGUGAUAAAUCUUUUUUCUCCACUGUAGCCCUUGCAGCAGCAUCUUCGCCUAUUGGUGUUAUUGGUGGAGCCCUGGCUGGCCAUGGUGUUGCAACUUUGAUUGCUGUUCUGGGAGGUUCUUUGCUUGGCACGUACUUAUCAGAAAAGACCAUCGCGUACACUGGAGGCAUUCUUUUUCUCGUCUUUGCUGCUGUAACAUUGAUUGAGAUAGUGAGUUAAAUUUUGUUGUAGAUCAAACAUUCAAAUUCAUAUUAUGUUUCUAUAAUCCAUGUUGCUAAGAAUUGUUUUUAUAUUGAUCAUCUAUUCUUGUGGCCUACUAUGUAUAAAUAGGCUAUUUUGAUUUGUACUUAUAUUGACAGAAGUUUAAGUCCAAAAUGUUGAACUAGAACAAGAGUGGAUGGCUGUAUAUGCUUGGAUUUUCUUGUUGAUAUGAGUAUAGAAGUUGGCCACUUCUUUUUC
RNA transcript from Manihot esculenta (cassava), 1709 nucleotides. It is a transcript of the gene named GDT1-like protein 1, chloroplastic, with no coding region annotated. The transcript has 12 exons. The record is from RefSeq and is a predicted model, not a curated record. NCBI's taxonomy places the organism in Eukaryota, Viridiplantae, Streptophyta, Magnoliopsida, Malpighiales, Euphorbiaceae.